AUACGGAGGGUGCAAGCGUUACUCGGAAUCACUGGGCGUAAAGCGCGCGCAGGCGGCUAUUUAAGUUGGAUGUGAAAGCCUACGGCUCAACCGUAGAACUGCAUCCAAAACUAUUUAGCUAGAGUGUGGGAGAGGAAGAUGGAAUUAGUUGUGUAGGGGUAAAAUCCGUAGAGAUAACUAGGAAUACCAAAAGCGAAGGCAAUCUUCUGGAACACUACUGACGCUGAGGCGCGAAAGCGUGGGGAGCAAACGGGAUUAGAAACCCGUGUAGUCC
This 274-nucleotide ribosomal RNA is filed under the name uncultured bacterium. RNAcentral's name for it is "partial 16S ribosomal RNA". It matches the Rfam family "Bacterial small subunit ribosomal RNA", at positions 523 to 796 of the family's 1533-position model. The record is from RNAcentral.